CCAGUACUCUACUCACUCCCCACCAUUCGAUACGACGUAGGUGUGUGUGUGUGUGGCCGGCCUUCUGUAAAAAUUACGACGAGUUUCAGUCGUCGUCUGAGAAAUUGACAAACUUUGUCGUCGUCUUAAACUUCUUCUCUCCCGUCUAAAUGGUGUUUGUCAGGUUCAUUCAUCUGAGCCACAAUAUAUGAAUACACG
Long non-coding RNA from Procambarus clarkii (red swamp crayfish), 198 nucleotides. RefSeq lists it as uncharacterized. Lineage: Eukaryota; Metazoa; Arthropoda; Malacostraca; Decapoda; Cambaridae. The record is from RefSeq and is a predicted model, not a curated record.